This is a non-coding RNA of Camellia sinensis, 499 nucleotides long. NCBI's taxonomy places the organism in Eukaryota, Viridiplantae, Streptophyta, Magnoliopsida, Ericales, Theaceae. The record is from RefSeq and is a predicted model, not a curated record.
CUAAUUAAUUAAUUAUAAGAGUCCAAUUCACUAACUAAUUAAUUACACUACUUAUUUAAUCAUAAGAACUCUAAUUAAUUAACUAAAUUUUCACCGUCUAAUUAACUAAUUACCAAAUUCAUUAAUUAUAAACUGCUAAUUAACGACCUAAUUAACUAAUUAACUAAUGAAUUAAUUAUAAACUGCUAUUUAACGACCUCCUAAGUAAUUAAAAUUCUAAUUAACUUAAUUAACUAAUUAACUAAUCACCUAAAUUAAACCAUGAGAGAGAGGGAGCUAUGCAUGAUGUUGCUGCUGUGGUGAGGAAGGUGGUGGACAUUAGAGUGAUGACUGGCUUUGUUAAGAACUUCUCGCACUCGGUUGCGCCAUGGCGGGUCAGCCACACUCCAGCCUAGAAGAUUGGGAUCGAGAGGAGGAAUGUGACGAAGAUGAGUAGACCGGCCAGGUUGCUUCAAAUUCUUUGAUGAGGGAGAGCGACCAUGCCAGAGAGAGAGAGAGA